GACGGGGGGGGCAAGUGUUCUUCGGAAUGACUGGGCGUAAAGGGCACGCAGGCGGUGAAUCGGGUUGAAAGUGAAAGUCGCCAAAAAGUGGCGGAAUGCUCUCGAAACCAAUUCACUUGAGUGAGACAGAGGAGAGUGGAAUUUCGUGUGUAGGGGUGAAAUCCGUAGAUCUACGAAGGAACGCCAAAAGCGAAGGCAGCUCUCUGGGUCCCUACCGACGCUGGGGUGCGAAAGCAUGGGGAGCGAACAGG
This 251-nucleotide ribosomal RNA is filed under the name uncultured bacterium. RNAcentral's name for it is "partial 16S ribosomal RNA". It matches the Rfam family "Bacterial small subunit ribosomal RNA", at positions 524 to 776 of the family's 1533-position model. The record is from RNAcentral.